RNAcentral lists this non-coding RNA (30 nucleotides) under Rattus norvegicus (Norway rat). The record is from RNAcentral. Lineage: Eukaryota; Metazoa; Chordata; Mammalia; Rodentia; Muridae.
UCCAGAAUUUUCCUGUUGUAAGUGUGGAGU